This 309-nucleotide ribosomal RNA is filed under the name uncultured eukaryote. RNAcentral's name for it is "partial 18S ribosomal RNA". It matches the Rfam family "Eukaryotic small subunit ribosomal RNA", at positions 1470 to 1796 of the family's 1831-position model. The record is from RNAcentral.
CCCUUAGAUGUUCUGGGCGGCCCGCGCACUACAUUGGCACUCUCAAUAAGUUCCUAGAUCUAAAACUUUGGGGUAUUCUAUUAAGUGGUGUCGUGACUGGGAUUAACCCUUGCAAUUAUUGGUUACGAACGAGGAAUUCCUUGUAAUCGCGGUUUAUCAGCCCGCGUUGAAUGCGUCCCUGCCCUUUGUACACACCGCCCGUCGCUCCUACCGAUGAAUCGUCCGGUGAAGUCCAUGGAGUGGUGGUUGUUCCAGCUGCUGUCGAAGUGAAAUGGACCUCACGAUUUAGAGGAAGGAGAAGUCGUAACA